Molecule: ribosomal RNA, 515 nt
Filed under: uncultured bacterium
Lineage: Bacteria
Description: partial 16S ribosomal RNA
Rfam family: Bacterial small subunit ribosomal RNA
Source: RNAcentral
GAUGAACGCUGGCGGCGUGCCUAAUACAUGCAAGUCGAGCGAAUGGAUUAAGAGCUUGCUCUUAUGAAGUUAGCGGCGGACGAGUGAGUAACACGUGGGUAACCUGCCCAUAAGACUGGGAUAACUCCGGGAAACCGGGGCUAAUACCGGAGAACAUUUUGAACCGCAUGGUUCGAAAUUGAAAGGCUGCUUCGGCUGUCACUUCUGGAUGGACCCGCGUCGCAUUAGCUAGUUGGUGAGGUAACGGCUCACCAAGGCAACGAUGCGUAGCCGACCUGAGAGGGUGAUCGGCCACACUGGGACUGAGACACGGCCCAGACUCCUACGGGAGGCAGCAGUAGGGAAUCUUCCGCAAUGGACGAAAGUCUGACGGAGCAACGCCGCGUGAGUGAUGAAGGCUUUCGGGUCGUAAAACUCUGUUGUUAGGGAAGAACAAGUGCUAGUUGAAUAAGCUGGCACCUUGACGGUACCUAACCAGAAAGCCACGGCUAACUACGUGCCAGCAGCCGCGGUAA